UAAUAAAUCUUUUGGACCAGU
RNAcentral lists this non-coding RNA (21 nucleotides) under Caenorhabditis elegans. The record is from RNAcentral. Lineage: Eukaryota; Metazoa; Nematoda; Chromadorea; Rhabditida; Rhabditidae.